Molecule: ribosomal RNA, 1501 nt
Filed under: Chaetoceros muelleri
Lineage: Eukaryota; Bacillariophyta; Thalassiosirophyceae; Chaetocerotales; Chaetocerotaceae
Description: eukaryotic LSU rRNA
Rfam family: Eukaryotic large subunit ribosomal RNA (bases 838-1501)
Source: RNAcentral
GUCGUAACAAGGUUUCCGUAGGUGAACCUGCGGAAGGAUCAUUAACACACCGAUCUAAGAUCUCAACUCCCGAGAAGGAGCAGUGCCUGCAGUUGUGACCUCUUGGCCAGUCCAGGAGGCACGGCAGCGAGUCAGACACUGCGACCAUGUUUACAUAAUAACCCUGGCAAUGGAGACAAACUGGUACUUUCCAGUGAGUCUCUCCUGCCAAAAACACAAAAGCGAAGAGGAUGAGGCACAAUGUGCCACCGUCCGCUUCCUUCCAUACAAAACUAACAUACCUAUAACCUGAAAUGAAAGUGGGGCAUGACACGAUCGUGCCCCAUAUCAUACUAUCAACAAUGUAAAUACAACUUUCAGCGAUGGAUGUCUAGGCUCCCACAACGAUGAAGAACGCAGCGAAAUGCGAUACGUAAUGCGAAUUGCAGGACUUCGUGAAUCAUCAAAAUUUUGAACGCACAUUGCGCUUCCGGGAAAUGCCCGGUAGCAUGCCUGGUUGAGUGUUCGUGGACCCCCCUUGGCCGCCAUGCCACUUACGAGAGUAAGUUAGCAGCCGGCGAGCCAGAGUAUGGACUGGUAUGCGAUGUAGAUUGCAUGCCUGGCCAAAGUGAGCAUUUGCCGCCAGUCCUCUGGAUGGCAUUUUGCGAGUGGAUCUGCAGAAUGUCUUGUGCCUGAGGAGACAAUGGUCUGUGCAUCUGGUAACUCUGCGCCGAAUGCGUGCGUGUGUUAGUAGAGGUAGAUGUCUGUCGUCUCUGAGCAGGAUGCUCGAGCAGUUUGUCCAAUCACCGUGAAGAGGAGGGAGGCGAGUCCUCUCUCAUCUUUGUCCAUUCCAAUUUCGAAUCUCAGCUUGGUAGGGAUACCCGCUGAAUUUAAGCAUAUAAUUAAGCGGAGGAAAAGAAAAUAACCAUGAUUCCCUCAGUAAGGGCGACUGAAGCGGGAAGAGCUCAUUCUGUGAAUCUGCACCCUGUGGUGCCGAGUUGUGGAAUGGAGAAGCACGUCAGCUGCAGACCCCGGUCCAAGUCUUCUGGAAAGGAGCGCUUGAAAGGGUGACAGCCCCGUAUCUGGCUGGGUGUCUGUGGCAUUAGCAUGUGCCUUCGACGAGUCGAGUUGCUUGGGAUUGCAGCUCUAAGUGGGUGGUAAAUUCCAUCUAAAGCUAAAUAUCGGUGGGAGACCGAUAGCGUACAAGUACCGUGAGGGAAAGAUGCAAAGAACUUUGAAAAGAGAGUUAAAGAGUACCUGAAAUCGCUGAAAUGGAAGCGAAGGAAACCAGUGGCAUUCUCCAACAUUUUCUCUCGUUGCUUGCGGCGAGGGCGCUGUGUUGGAGAGUCGGCCAGCAUGGGUUUGGACCGGCGGAAGACAUCCCCCAGGAGGCAGCUAGAAUUCCUAGCAAUCACUGAGGGAUGGUGCGCUGGUCGAGACCGAGGCUAGUCACGUUUGUGCUCGUGAUGCUGGCGAAAUGGUUUUCUUUACCCCGUCUUGAAACACGGACCAAGGAGUCUAA